GUCCAGAUCAUGUUUUCAGGUUCAGAACACAAUUUCAUGCGUCUGAAAGUACAAUAUUCAAAAGUUCUCAUCGCUUGAUGUACAUUUUUACACGUGAUUCUUCAGCAUGUCCUUUCUGCCAUGAACAGGUGAAUAAAGUGCCUAUCUUCUUAAUUUCACACGUUUUGAAAUGAAGCAUUUCUUUACACCUGAUUUUUUUUUUCUCACCUUUUUGUUUUUGCUUUUACAACUGUAGAAAACGCGUGACAAAUGUGAAGGUUUUUUUUUCAAAGUAGGAAAAUGCUAUAGAUGAUUUUCUCUGCCCCAAAAGCCUUUAUAUUUAGAAAAACUAAUGUUUAUAUAGAAGUCCAUUCAUUGAUUCCUUCAAGUAAGCUUAUGAUCGGAAAAACAUCGACAGAGGAGCUCCUUCUCUAACGUUAACAAUCUGUAAGUGUGCAAUUUUAUUUCCAGAUUCUAGAUAUAUAUUUAUACAUUCCAUCAUGGUUUUACAACUAGUACAGUAUAGCGUUUAUGGAUGUGUAUUUAUCUUCCGAAAGUCCGCUAGCAUGUUGUGCUAUAAGCUUCCCAUACUAUUGUAUUUUAGUUAGCUAAGUUAGCUGUCUUUUAUACUGACUAACGUUAGGCAAGAGGGUGUUGUACCUAGUUUGUUUACUCAUGUCAUAGUGAAAACGUCGCCCUUUUCUGACAAGUCAUUUCAUGCCAACUGUCAGCCCAGGAACUUGUGAUAUAAAUCCAUGUCGUCAUCGUUAUGUUACUGAAACUAACGUUGCUAUCUAUUUCAUGCCUGCUAGUUAACAGUACAAUGUUAGCUAUUUUGUGUGCUAACCCAGCUUCCUAUUUAUUUUUCAAAGGCAGGAUGGAGACACUGGGAUGUAUGUCAGAGACCCAUACAGUAGUAACCCCGCCGUAGGCUUGCUUGACAUCUACCAAGAGGUCUGGACCUUUAUGGCUCAGAAAGAACAGGAUAGGUCUAAACAAAGAUACUGGUCAUAUAGCUUUUGUCAAGUGUGUUUAAACUACACUGAUCCAGGGCAAGCAGCCCUGGUCCCACUCCUCUCCCUCAAUCACUACAGUGGCAUUACUUGAACUUCUAUCGCUCCUGUAGCACCAGCAGGUUGGAGAUGUGGACACCACCAUUCCCAUUAUGUACCGCUUCUGUUUUUCAUUUCUUUCUACUUGGAACUGUGGUUCACACAUGUUAUGUUGUCUAAUUCCAGGUGCAUACAGGAAGAAUUUUAUUUUUGUAUACUCCCAUUUUAUUAUAGUGGUCUUUCCACAUGUCAUAAAUAGAGUAGAUGGUUAAAGGGCAUUCCUUUCGUUUGACAUGUGUGCUCAAAGUGUUUAAUCUCUGUCAUUGUGUUUUACAGCAAUCUUCUUCAACGUGGUGACGUGGAACAACCUGAAUUUUUAUUUCUGUUGGUAAGGUAUGGCUUGUGUGAGGUGGUGGGAUUUGUGUGAGUUUAUUUUUUGGUUGUUGAUGAUGAUGAUGAUGACCAGGAGGUGGAUGGCAAAGGGGAGAUCAGAAAAGGUCCUAACCACUAGGUGGUUCUGGAAUCCUGGGAAGGGGGUGCCCUUUAACCAUCUACUCUGUGUUGAUCAAGGUGUUUAUAUGUUGUUUGUUGGGGUGGUUGUGUAGUCUAGAAGGGGGUGCCCGGCCGUGUUGAUCAAGGUGUUUAUAUGUUGUUGUUUGUUGGGGUGGUUGUGUAGUCUAGAAGGGGGUGCCCGGCCGUGUUGAUCAAGGUGUUUAUAUGUUGUUUGUUGGGGUGGUUGUGUAGUCUAGAAGGGGGUGCCCGGACGUGUUGAUCAAGGUGUUUAUAUGUUGUUGUUGGGGUGGUUGUGUAGUCUAGAAGGGGGUGCCUGGCCGUGUUGAUCAAGGUGUUUAUAUGUUGUUUGUUGGGGUGGUUGUGUAGUCUAGAAGGGGGUGCCCGGACGUGUUGAUCAAGGUGUUUAUAUGUUGUUUGUUGGGGUGGUUGUGUAGUCUAGAAGGGGGUGCCCGGCCGUGAUGUUCAAGGUUUGCCUGUUCACUCAUCCAGAAGGCGAGGUCAGUACAGAUGCAUCUAAGCUGGGACCGAGAGACUGAAAAACAGCUUCUAUCUCAAGGCCGUCAGACUGUUAAACAGCCAUCACUAACAUACAGUGGCUGCUGCCAACAUACUGACUCAACUCAAGCCACUUUAAUAAUGAAAAAUGUAUGUAAUAAAUGUAUCGCUAGCCACUUUAAACAAUGCCACUUUAUAUAAUGUUUACAUAUCCUACAUUACUCAUGUCAUAUGUAUAUACUGUACUCUAUAUCAUCUACUGCAUCUUGCCAUCUUGAUGUAAUAAAUGUAUCACUAGCCACUUUAAUCAAUGCCACUUUAUAUAAUGUUUACAUACCCUACAUUACUCAUCUCAUAUGUAUAUACUGUACUCUAUACCAUCUACUGCAUCUUGCCUAUGCCGUUCGGCCAUCGCUCAUUCAUAUAUUUUUAUGUACAUAUUCUUAUUCAUUCCUAUACACUUGUGUGUAUAAGGUAGUUAUUGUGAAAUUGUUAGAUAUUACUGCAUGGUCAGAACUAGAAGCACAAGCAUUUCCCUACACUCGCAUUAACAUCUGCUAACCAUGUGUAUGUGACAAAUAAAAUAAGAUUUGAGGUGUUAAAAUGUUUUUUGGGUUGUUUUUUUUUGGUGCGGUUGGUGAAUAUUUUACCCAUUGCCACUCAUUUUACCUGUAGGUAGGUAUUACUGUUCAAUUCAAAGUAAUUCAGAGUAAGUGAGUUCCAGUAAUCGUAGUAGAUGAUGGUCUGGUCUGCCUGGUUGUGGGGUAUUGUAGUAGUUGAUGGUCUGCCUGGUUGUGGGGUAUUGUAGUAGUUGAUGGUCUGUCUGGUUGUGGGGUAUUGUAGUAGUUGAUGGUCUGUCUGGUUGUGGGGUAUUGUAGUAGUUGAUGGUCUGUCUGGUUGUGGGGUAUUGUAGUAGUUGAUGGUCUGGUCUGGUUGUGGGGUAUUGUAGUAGUU
RNAcentral lists this long non-coding RNA (2993 nucleotides) under Salmo salar (Atlantic salmon). Its description in RNAcentral is "lncRNA (ENSSSAG00000082959.1, ENSSSAG00000092730.1)". The record is from RNAcentral. Lineage: Eukaryota; Metazoa; Chordata; Actinopteri; Salmoniformes; Salmonidae.